Molecule: ribosomal RNA, 253 nt
Filed under: uncultured bacterium
Lineage: Bacteria
Description: partial 16S ribosomal RNA
Rfam family: Bacterial small subunit ribosomal RNA
Source: RNAcentral
UACAGAGGUCUCAAGCGUUGUUCGGAUUCAUUGGGCGUAAAGGGCGCGUAGGCGGCGGGGUAAGUCGGGUGUGAAAUUUCGGAGCUUAACUCCGAAACUGCAUUCGAUACUGCGGUGCUUGAGGACUGGAGAGGAGACUGGAAUUCAUGGUGUAGCAGUGAAAUGCGUAGAGAUCAUGAGGAAGACCAGUGGCGAAGGCGGGUCUCUGGACAGUUCCUGACACUGAGGCACGAAGGCCAGGGGAGCAAACGGG